This 468-nucleotide ribosomal RNA is filed under the name uncultured bacterium. Its description in RNAcentral is "partial 16S ribosomal RNA". It matches the Rfam family "Bacterial small subunit ribosomal RNA", at positions 28 to 507 of the family's 1533-position model. The record is from RNAcentral.
GACGAACGCUGGCGGCGUGCUUAACACAUGCAAGUCGAACGGAAAGGCCCUGCUUUUGUGGGGUGCUCGAGUGGCGAACGGGUGAGUAACACGUGAGUAACCUGCCCUUGACUUUGGGAUAACUUCAGGAAACUGGGGCUAAUACCGGAUAGGAGCUCCUGCUGCAUGGUGGGGGUUGGAAAGUUUCGGCGGUUGGGGAUGGACUCGCGGCUUAUCAGCUUGUUGGUGGGGUAGUGGCUUACCAAGGCUUUGACGGGUAGCCGGCCUGAGAGGGUGACCGGCCACAUUGGGACUAAGAUACGGCCCAGACUCCUACGGGAGGCAGCAGUGGGGAAUAUUGCACAGUGGGCGGAAGCCUGAUGCAGCGACGCCGCGUGCGGGAUGACGGCCUUCGGGUUGUAAACCGCUUUCGCCUGUGACGAAGCGUGAGUGACGGUAAUGAGUAAAGAAGCACCGGCUAACUACGUG